GUGGUCGAUGAAUCUUUUUCCGGCAGCCGGCGUCCAUUUUCCUCUCUGCUUGUCUGUAGUUGGCGCGUUUCUUAUUUAUGAAAGCUUUGAUAUUAAAUUAAUAUAAAAAGAUUAUUAAAAUAUAAUGGAAGGUGCUCCAAGUGGCAGGGGCGGAUUUAAGGGUCGUGGAGGUCCUGGUGGUCCGAUGAGAGGACGUGGUGGUUUUGGAGAUAGAGGAAGGGGUGGUCCUCCAAGAGGAGGUAGUAUGAUGCGAGGAGGUCGUGGUAGUGGACCUGGUGGUGGAAUGAGAUGCGGUCCACCUGGUAUCAGAGGUAGAGGAGGUCCUCCUGGUAGAGGUGGACGUGGUCAUUUUCCAGGUGGUCCUCCAGAACCAGGAAUGGCUGGUGGUCCCGGUGGUGGACCUCCACCUCCAGGUUUAGGUGGUCCUCCAAGAGGAGGAAGCAGAGGAGGAGGAAGCAGCGGUUUCCGUGGUAGAGGUAGAGGAGAUUUUGGUAGAGGAGACAGUCGUACUCCAAAUAGUAGUUUCCGUGGACGUGGUGGUAUGGACAGAGGAAGUCGUGGUAGUUCAAGAGUUGGUUCGAGUAGAGGUGGUCCGGGUGGAAGAGGAAGUUUUGGAGAUCGUUCUAGUAGGGGAGGCAGGGGUGCACCAACAAAAAGAGGUGGUGGCCCACCAGGUGCAAGUGGUCCUUCAAAGAGACCAAGAUUUGAUCAACCAUCCUCACAACCAUCUAAUGGCUAUGCAACCCAAGCUCCAAAUCAAGGCGGAUAUGGUGCUGCUGGAAAUGCCUAUGGUGGUGGCCAACAACAAGCACCGCAACAGCAACCAGUAGGAUAUGGUGGAGGUUAUGGAUCUCAACAGGGUUAUGCACAGUCAUAUCAAGGAUAUGAAAGCUAUCAACAGCCACCUGAUUAUGCACAAGCUGCGGGUUAUCCUCCAUCUGCACCACCUGAUAAUAGGUACGGAGGAGCUCCUGCUGUUCCAGCAACUGGAGCUUUUAAUACUGGUGAUCCUUAUAGUUAUGGCAAAGCUCCACCCUCAGCUAGUUACCAGCAGGAGGCAGUAGCAGCUGCAGUGGCAGGAGGUGGGGGUCCAGGUUAUGCUCCUGCUAACCCAUAUGAUGACAGAUCUUCUAAUGCUACCACCAUGAUCAACCGGGGUGGUUAUUCAACACAACCUUAUGAUUAUCCAAAUCAGGAUGGAGUGUACGGCAAACAGGAUUAUGGUUGAUAGCAGCUAUGCUAAGUACAACAUUGGUGGACCUGAGUGCAACAAUCGUGUCAACUGCCACAUGACUGGCAUCAACGUCAAUGACCUUAUCUACAUAAGGUUUCUGGAGAUGCAAAAAUGAAGAGGAACAUUCUUGGAAUUCACAAAGGAUGGAUUUAAUGAUGAAAAUUUGACAA
This 1404-nucleotide unclassified non-coding RNA is filed under the name Polistes canadensis. RNAcentral's name for it is "collagen alpha-1(I) chain-like, transcript variant X1". The record is from RNAcentral. Lineage: Eukaryota; Metazoa; Arthropoda; Insecta; Hymenoptera; Vespidae.